RNAcentral lists this long non-coding RNA (1419 nucleotides) under Equus caballus (horse). RNAcentral describes it as "lncRNA (ENSECAG00000059590.1)". The record is from RNAcentral. Lineage: Eukaryota; Metazoa; Chordata; Mammalia; Perissodactyla; Equidae.
GAAUAAAUGGAUAGUGGGUGGGUGAGUGGAUGAAUGGAUAGUGGAUGGUUGAUGGAAGGACUGAAGGAUGGUGGGUGGAUAGUAGGUGGAUGGAUUGAUAGUAGGUAGUGAAUGUAUGGUGAAAGGAUGGAAGGAUGGUGGACGGAUGGUGGGUGGAUGGAUGGAUGGUGGUUAGGUGGGUGAUGGAUGGAUAGUGGAUAGAUGAGUAGAUGGAUAGAUAGAUCAAUGUAUGGAAGGAUGGAUAGAUGUUGCAUGGAUGGGGGAUAAAUGACAGGAUUUUGAAUGGAUAGUGGGAGGAGGGAUGGAUGAUGGCUGCCUGGCUGGAUAGUGUAUAGAUGAGCAGAUGACUGGAUGGAUGGAUAGAUGAGGGACGCAUGGUGGAUAAAUAGGUGGAUGAACAGAUGAGGGAUAGAUGAAUGGAUGAAUAAAUGGUGGAUGGAUGGCUUGUGGAUGUGUGCACGAUGGAUGGUGGAUAGAUGGAUGGAUGGAUGGAUGGCUAGAUGGAUGGAUGAAUGAAUACCUAUGAGGCAACGAUUGCCAAGGCACACUUGGACACUUCUAAGGUAAGUGAGUCUAAUCCAAUUGAGCAUCACUGUGAGCUCUAUGCACAGCUGCUCCAUCUACUGCUCUUCCUUUCUCGUCCCUACCUUAUUCUGGAUUGGGGAGAUGUCCAAUUCUGACAAGGUUGUGGUCCUUUCACAGUUCUCCUCUCAAUGAGCUCAUCAACAGCCCCUCCCCUUCAGGAUAUUAGGGUCUUCGCAGUUUCUGUGGAAAUCUCAUCGGACAUUUCCCACCAGUGUCAGCUUCCUCAGCUGACGCGAUGGGACGGCAGACUCAAGUGGAGGGACAACUUGCUGUUUGCCUCUCGUAUCUCCAUCAACCAUAUGAUCUCUUUCCUUGUUUCACCUGACUUCACAGCCCAUUUUCCUGAGCCAUGGACAUCUGCUCUGACAUUAGUCAUUUUAAAGACAUCUGGGCUCAGUCCCUUCAAUCUUGUUACAUUUUUCUCCAUAAAGCCCUUAUUACCGACAUCUUUUUUCCCAAGCUUUCAGGAAAAUGGUAUACAAAGUGCUGAGCAGGAACCAUUGAUAUCACCAGAGUAAAGUGAUGCCAUCCCUGCCACCCUUCGGCUUCAGAAUGAACUUCAAGGUUUUUGGAAUUCAGAACGCACAACAUGGGGGUGUCCCUCCCUCUCGUCCCACCCCUGAGCUCCCCAAUACCAAUCCUGGGGUACUGGAAACAGGCCUCAUCUCCUACCUGCACAUUGGAGCCAGGCAGUGGCCUGCCAUAUAGGUCCUAUGUCUUCUAAUUAUUAAUGUGCUGGUGUUUCUAGGACACUUCACACGAUAAAGAUGGUGGUGGUGUUAAUGAAAAUAAGGGAGAGUCACCACCAUGUACUAAGAACUAAUUACAGUGUGG